UACGGAGGAUGCGAGCGUUAUCCGGAUUUAUUGGGUUUAAAGGGUGCGUAGGCGGACAGUCAAGUCAGCGGUAAAAAUGCGGUGCUCAACACCGGCCGGCCGUUGAAACUGGCAGCCUUGAGUGAGCGAGAAGUAUGCGGAAUGCGUGGUGUAGCGGUGAAAUGCAUAGAUAUCACGAAGAACUCCGAUUGCGAAGGCAGCCUGCUGGACUGUAACUGACGCUGAUGCUCGAAAGUGUGGUGGUAAUCAAGAGU
Molecule: ribosomal RNA, 254 nt
Filed under: uncultured bacterium
Lineage: Bacteria
Description: partial 16S ribosomal RNA
Rfam family: Bacterial small subunit ribosomal RNA
Source: RNAcentral